Molecule: ribosomal RNA, 253 nt
Filed under: uncultured bacterium
Lineage: Bacteria
Description: partial 16S ribosomal RNA
Rfam family: Bacterial small subunit ribosomal RNA
Source: RNAcentral
UACGUAGGGGGCAAGCGUUGUCCGGAUUUAUUGGGCGUAAAGAGCGUGUAGGCGGCCUGAAAGGUCAGCUGUGAAAACUCGAGGCUCAACCUCGAGACGUCGGUUGAAACCAUCUGGCUAGAGUCCGGAAGAGGAGUGUGGAAUUCCCGGUGUAGCGGUGAAAUGCGCAGAUAUCAGGAGGAACACCGGUGGCGAAGGCGGGACUCUGGGCCGAUACUGACGCUGAGGAGCGAAAGCGUGGGGAGCAAACAGG